RNAcentral lists this ribosomal RNA (497 nucleotides) under uncultured bacterium. Its description in RNAcentral is "partial 16S ribosomal RNA". It matches the Rfam family "Bacterial small subunit ribosomal RNA", at positions 28 to 507 of the family's 1533-position model. The record is from RNAcentral.
GAUGAACGCUGGCGGCGUGCCUAAUACAUGCGAGUCGAGCGAACAGACGAGGAGCUUGCUCCUCUGACGUUAGCGGCGGACGGGUGAGUAAAACGUGGAUAACCUACCUAUAAGACUGGGAUAACUUCGGGAAACCGGAGCUAAUACCGGAUAAUAUAUUGAACCGCAUGGUUCAAUAGUGAAAGACGGUUUUGCUUUCACUUAUAGAUGGAUCCGCGCCGCAUUAGCUAGUUGGUAAGGUAACGGCUUACCAAGGCAACGAUGCGUAGCCGACCUGAGAGGGUGAUCGGCCACACUGGAACUGAGACACGGUCCAGACUCCUACGGGAGGCAGCAGUAGGGAAUCUUCCGCAAUGGGCGAAAGCUUGACGGAGCAACGCCGCGUGAGUGAUGAAGGUCUUCGGAUCGUAAAACUCUGUUAUUAGGGAAGAACAAAUGUGUAAGUAACUAUGCACGUCUUGACGGUACCUAAUCAGAAAGCCACGGCUAACUACGUG